RNAcentral lists this ribosomal RNA (256 nucleotides) under uncultured bacterium. RNAcentral describes it as "partial 16S ribosomal RNA". It matches the Rfam family "Bacterial small subunit ribosomal RNA", at positions 1248 to 1500 of the family's 1533-position model. The record is from RNAcentral.
GGCGAAGCCGCGAGGUGGAGCGAAUCCCAAAAAAGACCGGUCUAAGUUCGGAUUGCAGGCUGCAACCCGCCUGCAUGAAGUCGGAAUCGCUAGUAAUCGCGAGUCAGCAUAUCGCGGUGAAUACGUUCCCGGGUCUUGUACACACCGCCCGUCACACCAUGGGAGUUGGCAACACCCGAAGUCGAUGAGCUAACCUUUUAGGAGGCAGUCGCCUAAGGUGGGGCUGAUAACUGGGGUGAAGUCGUAACAAGGUACC